Molecule: long non-coding RNA, 1837 nt
Filed under: Panax ginseng (ginseng)
Lineage: Eukaryota; Viridiplantae; Streptophyta; Magnoliopsida; Apiales; Araliaceae
Description: long non-coding RNA (PGIN_LNC017151)
Source: RNAcentral
UUUUAUGUAUAGUCAAUCUAAUAUGCUUCAUUGUCCAAUAAAUUAUGUGUUUUAUGUUGAACAUAUAUUAUCACAUUUUUCAUUUCAUUUCCGUAUCGUACGAUAUGAUUCACAAUACGAUACGUGAGGAUUUUCGAUACACGAUACGAUUCACAAUUUGACAACUAUGAUAACCAUAAUUACCAUUCCUACGAGGAACAGAUGGACUAGAGAAGAUGCCCUGUGCAAUGGUGAGAUUACAAGCCAAAAAAGAAUCUAGUGUGUGGAUAGUUUGGCUCAUCCAAAGAAUUCAGUAAUUUGUCUAUCCAACCAAAGAUGAUAGGUUUGUGUUAUUGUAACUUCAGUUUCUGUUUAAAGAGUCAUAGAUUUAUCAUGUUAGGACAAUGAUGUAAGAGUUUAAUAACUAAUAAGUGAAUAUUCUUAGAAAAAAAUAAGUGUACUUAACAACAUUAUUGUCAUCCAUUUAAUAAACAGAAAAUAAUACUGUUAUAUAUACACACAUGUAUAUACUUUAAUGAAAACACAAUAUAUAUGUAUAUAUCUUUAGAUAAAGCUUUGUUCACAAAAUAAUUCUCAUAAAAUCAUUAUUUUGCCAGUACCGACUUUAUUAUGCAUAGACAAAUGAGAUAUUUGAUCAAGCAUUCCAAGAGGAGGCCAUUCUUGUGAAGCAUUUAGUUUUUAAUAGAUAGCAUCUUUUAAGAGGGGAUGGAGGAACAAGACCUAGGUUCCUUACUGACAAUAUUCAGCUGACCAAUUCCUAGAAAUGAAUGACAAUCCAAAUCAAGUAUCUUUUUUGGUAAACUACAAAUACAGAACUACUAUAUAAAGAUUCAAUAGAAACACCAUUAUUCAUAUAUUAGCAAAUUAGGACAUGUAGUUGGUGCAUCAACUUAAACCUCAAGCAUGAACAAUUUCAAGCUAAUGAAGACAUACUAUACUAACAAGCAAAAACCGAUAAAAACGUCAACGGGGAAGAUCAUGACAACAUACCAACCCAAACACCAGUCAACCCCUUGUGUCGUGAAGCUUUGAUAGAAAACGUUGAGGAAAGUACACGAAUGAUCACCUCCUCAAGUGCUCUGAGGUACCAAUGAAGAUCCAUAUUGUGAUAGCGAAGAUUUAGAAUAGGGUAUAUAACUAGCUACAAAGAAACAAGUUAAACUCAAAUAUUUGGGAACUAAAUUCAAAAACUGGAGAUAACUCCUUCAAUAAAUUGAUUCAAAGAACUCAACUAAGAAAAAAGGUUAGCAUCAAAUAGUUGGCACUAAAUUCAAAAACUGGAGAUAGGUCCUUCCAUAAAUUGAUUCAAGAACUCAACAAAGAAAACAUCUGAAACUACGUAAUGUAUAGCAAAAUCAUUGAGUUCUUCAAUAGGUUACUAACAAAUGAUUCAGAAUUAUACAAUUAAAUUUGAAAAAGCACAUGAAUUUAACAAAGUAGAGUACAGAAUAUACCUGUCCUGGUCCAUGGUAAGUAACUUCCCCACCGCGUUCUGUUCGAUAAAAGUCUUUAACGUCUUUCAAGUUAUCUUCAGAACUAGCCGUUCCCAAAGUAUAAACAGGGGGGUGCUGAAGGAUAAUUAGAGUAUCAGAAAAAUCUUCAUCUUUAUCACUCAAUAAUUUUCUUUCUUCAACAAUGGAUUUCUGCCAAGACCAUGCCUCAGCAUAUGGAAUUAGCUCAUUGUGCAUAUCAAAUAAAUCGCACCUGUAAGACCAAACAAUCCUCCCAUAACCCAGCUAAGAAACAGUCUUUAUGCAUAUAAAAUAUAAAUCUUUUGUGCAAAAAUGCUUAUUUUACCUUCUUUUUCCAUUAGGGGUUAUCAAAAUGGCCUGCCGAG